AAGGGGAGUGAAAGAGAUCCUGAAACCGUGUGCCUACAAGAUGUCGGAGCCCGUUAAUGGGUGACGGCGUGCCUUUUGUAGAAUGAACCGGCGAGUUGCGAUCGUAUGCAAGGUUAAGCGGUAGAACGCGGAGCCGAAGCGAAAGCGAGUCUGAAUAGGGCGCGUGAGUAUGCGGUCGCAGACCCGAAACCGCGUGAUCUACCCAUGUCCAGGGUGAAGGCAGGGUAACACCUGCUGAAGGCCCGAAC
Molecule: ribosomal RNA, 248 nt
Filed under: Salibacterium salarium
Lineage: Bacteria; Bacillati; Bacillota; Bacilli; Caryophanales; Bacillaceae
Description: Bacillus salarius Bacterial large subunit ribosomal RNA
Rfam family: Bacterial large subunit ribosomal RNA
Source: Rfam by way of RNAcentral